ACACUGAGAGAGAAAUCGUCCACGUUAAAACACGAUGAAAUAUGCAGAAAAAUCUCCAUAGUAAUGAAUUGAUGGAUCAGCUGGCACCACCAGACUGAU
RNAcentral lists this long non-coding RNA (99 nucleotides) under Callithrix jacchus (white-tufted-ear marmoset). RNAcentral's name for it is "lncRNA (ENSCJAG00000072703.1)". The record is from RNAcentral. Lineage: Eukaryota; Metazoa; Chordata; Mammalia; Primates; Cebidae.